This 497-nucleotide ribosomal RNA is filed under the name uncultured bacterium. RNAcentral describes it as "partial 16S ribosomal RNA". It matches the Rfam family "Bacterial small subunit ribosomal RNA", at positions 28 to 507 of the family's 1533-position model. The record is from RNAcentral.
GAUGAACGCUGGCGGCGUGCCUAAUACAUGCCAGUCGAGCGAACAGACGAGGAGCUUGCUCCUCUGACGUUAGCGGCGGACGGGUGAGUAACACGUGGAUAACCUACCUAUAAGACUGGGAUAACUUCGGGAAACCGGAUCUUAUACCGGAUAAUAUAUUGAACCGCAUGGUUCAAUAGUGAAAGACGGUUUUGCUUUCACUAAUAGAUUGAUCCGCGCCGCAUUAGCUAGUUGGUAAGGUAACGGCUUACCAAGGCAACGAUGCGUAGCCGACCUGAGAGGGUGAUCGGCCACACUGGAACUGAGACACGGUCCAGACUCCUACGGGAGGCAGCAGUAGGGAAUCUUCCGCAAUGGGCGAAAGCCUGACGGAGCAACGCCGCGUGAGUGAUGAAGGUCUUCGGAUCGUAAAACUCUGUUAUUAGGGAAGAACAAAUGUGUAAGUAACUAUGCACGUCUUGACGGUACCUAAUCAGAAAGCCACGGCUAACUACGUG